GGUAUGUUGGUUGUGGGCGGAGUCACGGGGUGACGGACGCGCCACCUGUAGAAAAGGCGAGCACCGGGUAAGCCGGGGCGUGGCUCCGGCGGCUCCUGCAUUGGGCCUUGAUGCUGCUCCUGUCUGCACGUGAUCCUCCAGAGCAAGACCAGAGGCAAUCCAGGGAAGACUGCUGGGAUGAAUACCUUCCAUCCUCUCCCUAUGUACCAGAAAUGGGAUCGUCUGACAGUGAUUUCCUCUUGUUAAAGGCAGUUUCCAUCACUGUGCCAUAGAUGUGCAAGGCUGGGUGAGCACCAGACCGGUGUGCUGGGAUAGCCCGGAGGACGCGCUCUCUCUUGUGCUCCAGCACAGGAGGAGCCGUGGGAAGCCUGAAGAAAUCUGGGAUUAGAGCUCGGAGCAAAACUUCCUUCCCAGCAGCUUUUCCCUGCAGAAAGAGGAGGCUUUUGGCAAGAGACCCUGACGUGUGAUGCAUCAGUGCAGUGCUAAAGAAAAGGGGGAAAAGACGCUACGUUAUUCCCCCCUCCUUCCCUCUGCCUCUUCCCAGCAAAUUGGGAAUCUAUGGAAUUGUGAUCAUAUGGGGUGAAAACUAAUAAAAGGAUUAAUAAAGUGAGAUGAUAUUCUGACUGGGCAGCUGUUUUGUUGGCACUGGUUUCAUGUGUGUGUGUUGGAAUUGGGAUGGGGGGAAUAACGUAGCAUCUGGGCUGGUGUAAUGACAGUAAAGCAGGCAAGGAUGGCCCAAUGAGAUGGGAUUUAGAGCAGCUCCAUAGACUGGACAUGGAAAUAACACCAUGUUCCAGAGAGUGAAUGGGAGAGCGGUGGCACUGCCUGAC
This 830-nucleotide long non-coding RNA is filed under the name Melopsittacus undulatus (budgerigar). RNAcentral describes it as "lncRNA (ENSMUNG00000018013.1)". The record is from RNAcentral. Lineage: Eukaryota; Metazoa; Chordata; Aves; Psittaciformes; Psittaculidae.